Molecule: non-coding RNA, 112 nt
Organism: Acanthosepion pharaonis
Lineage: Eukaryota; Metazoa; Mollusca; Cephalopoda; Sepiida; Sepiidae
Source: the annotation of a GenBank genome assembly
UUACGGUCACAUUACAUUGAAAACACCGGUUCCCGUACAAUCAGUGAAGUUAAGCAACGUCGAGCCUUGGCUGUACCUAGAUGGGUGACGACCGCUUGGGAAUACUAAUUAC